CAGCCGCCACGGUAAAACGGAGGGGGCUGGCGUUGUUCGGAAUUACUGGGCGUAAAGCGCACGUAGGCGGCUUGGUAAGUUAGAGGUGAAAGCCCGGAGCUCAACUCCGGAAUUGCCUUUAAGACUGCCGAGCUAGUAGGUGAGAGAGGUAAGUGGAAUUCCGAGUGUAGAGGUGAAAUUCGUAGAUAUUCGGAAGAACACCAGUGGCGAAGGCGGCUUACUGGCUCAUUCUAGACGCUGAGGUGCGAAAGCGUGGGGAGCAAACAGGAUUAGAUACCCGCGUAGUCCCUGUCUCUUAUAC
RNAcentral lists this ribosomal RNA (301 nucleotides) under uncultured bacterium. RNAcentral's name for it is "partial 16S ribosomal RNA". It matches the Rfam family "Bacterial small subunit ribosomal RNA", at positions 509 to 807 of the family's 1533-position model. The record is from RNAcentral.